CCUGCCUUAGCAUAACGGUAGUGCAACCGGCCUAUACCCGGCAUAAGGCUCCAGAUUAGGGCACGAUCUCGGUUCGAAUCCGAGAGGCAGGACCA
This 95-nucleotide transfer RNA is filed under the name Caudoviricetes sp. Its description in RNAcentral is "tRNA-Ile". It matches the Rfam family "tRNA". From Rfam's summary of the family: Transfer RNA (tRNA) molecules are approximately 80 nucleotides in length. Their secondary structure includes four short double-helical elements and three loops (D, anti-codon, and T loops). Lineage: Duplodnaviria; Heunggongvirae; Uroviricota; Caudoviricetes. The record is from RNAcentral.